Molecule: long non-coding RNA, 258 nt
Organism: Pecten maximus
Lineage: Eukaryota; Metazoa; Mollusca; Bivalvia; Pectinida; Pectinidae
Exons: 2
Source: RefSeq, a predicted model, not a curated record
AACGACACCAACAACGACACCAACAACGACGACAACGACACCAGCACCAAAUGACGACGACGAUGUAAUCGGAGACGUCAUCGUACCGCUUGCCUUGUUUGCGGUCUUCAUCAACUUAUUCGGCGCUAUUUUCUUUUAAAUAUGUGAAAUUCUGACAUAUCGGCUGUAUAAAACACCAAUUCCUGGUAUUCUUUUUAGUUUUAUUGUCUGCUAGCCGAACAGCUUAUCGCGUGGCUUUGAAUAAACAUAUACAAUGAA